Molecule: ribosomal RNA, 468 nt
Filed under: uncultured bacterium
Lineage: Bacteria
Description: partial 16S ribosomal RNA
Rfam family: Bacterial small subunit ribosomal RNA
Source: RNAcentral
GACGAACGCUGGCGGCGUGCUUAACACAUGCAAGUCGAACGGAAAGGCCCUGCUUUUGUGGGGUGCUCGAGUGGCGAACGGGUGAGUAACACGUGAGUAACCUGCCCUUGACUUUGGGAUAACUUCAGGAAACUGGGGCUAAUACCGGAUAGGAGCUCCUGCUGCAUGGUGGGGGUUGGAAAGUUUCGGCGGUUGGGGAUGGACUCGCGGCUUAUCAGCUUGUUGGUGGGGUAGUGGCUUACCAAGGCUUUGACGGGUAGCCCGCCUGAGAGGGUGACCGGCGACAUUGGGACUGAGAUACGGCCCAGACUGCUACGGGAGGCAGCAGGGGGGAAUAUUGCACAAUGGGCGGAAGCCUGAUGCAGCAACGCCGCGUGCGGGAUGACGGCCUUCGGGUUGUAAACCGCUUUCGCCGGUGACGAAGCGUGAGUGACGGUAAUGGGUAAAGAAGCACCGGCUAACUACGUG